This 300-nucleotide long non-coding RNA is filed under the name Medicago truncatula (barrel medic). RNAcentral's name for it is "long non-coding RNA (MTRU_LNC008788)". Lineage: Eukaryota; Viridiplantae; Streptophyta; Magnoliopsida; Fabales; Fabaceae. The record is from RNAcentral.
AUGAAUUUGUUUCCUAAUACCGAGAUCACGCACAAUCUCAUUUGGAUUAAAUUCAUUGGCUCCAUUAGGCGGUGGUUCUUCUACUUCGGCUUCCGAUUGCACAACAUUCACAUUCUGAAUACUUGUUCUAUCAACCAAGUGAGGAGGGUAUAUAUAUUGAAGAGUCCAAUGUGAAUGUUCUAUGAAUGUGAAUGUUCUUCUACUUGUUCUAUGAAUGAUUUUCUUGUUAUUCAAAUGACAGGGACCUUUUAAAUCAUUCAUGCCAUACCAUUUCUUGUUGCAGUGCUAAACAAGAAAAAC